This is a long non-coding RNA of Rhineura floridana, 585 nucleotides long. RefSeq lists it as uncharacterized. NCBI's taxonomy places the organism in Eukaryota, Metazoa, Chordata, Lepidosauria, Squamata, Rhineuridae. The record is from RefSeq and is a predicted model, not a curated record. The transcript has 3 exons.
GUCACUGUGUUCUCAAUAAGUGCUAUCUCUGCUGCCAAAUUUAAUGAGGAAUACUCCUCAUUUGGUGCUUGAGUAUUGCCUUUAAGGUCCAAGGACCAAUCAAGAGGGCUCCAGAUGUACUCUGUAGUUCUUCGAAAGUUUCCAAGGCCGCCUUCUCCUCUCCCCUUGCUCUUUGCUCAAAUUGCCUUAAUCUCCUGCUCAGUAUAAACUAGGAUGUGUACCAAGGAAAAUGAUUUGAGGGAAUCAGAGAACGUUCGGAGCUCCAAACAAUCGCUGCUGCACUCGACCAGUGUACAGAUGUAUUGCAUAAUUAGGAGGAGUGAAGAUAUCCUUUGGAAAGGCAGACACCUUCCACAGCAGAAACAGUGUGAUGUAGAGGUUCAUGUAUAGCACUUGGACUGAAGAGAGCUGGAUUCAUAUCCCACUCGGUCUUGAAACCUGUUGAGUGAUGUUGGGCCAGUCAUGCUCAUUCAUUCACUCACUCACUCACUCAUUUAUUUAUUUAUUAAAGUAUCUAUAAUCUGCACUUUCAUGAAAGUAUAUCAAGGCAGUGUAUGACAUACAAAGCUGUAAUAAAAUCAAUAA